This 460-nucleotide ribosomal RNA is filed under the name uncultured bacterium. Its description in RNAcentral is "partial 16S ribosomal RNA". It matches the Rfam family "Bacterial small subunit ribosomal RNA", at positions 338 to 795 of the family's 1533-position model. The record is from RNAcentral.
CCUACGGGGGGCAGCAGUGAGGAAUAUUGGUCAAUGGGCGUAAGCCUGAACCAGCCACGUCGCGUGAGGGAUGAAGGUUCUAUGGAUCGUAAACCUCUUUUAUAAGGGAAUAAAGUGUGGGACGUGUCCUAUUUUGUCUGUACCUUAUGAAUAAGGAUCGACUAACUCCGUGCCAGCAGCCGCGGUAAUACGGAGGAUCCGAGCGUUAUCCGGAUUUAUUGGGUUUAAAGGGUGCGUAGGCGGCCUUAUAAGUCAGCGGUGAAAGUCUGUGGCUCAACCAUAGAAUUGCCGUUGAAACUGGUGGGCUUGAGUAUGUUUGAGGCAGGCGGAAUGCGUGGUGUAGCGGUGAAAUGCGUAGAUAUAACGAAGAACCCCGAUGGCGAAGGCAGACUGCCAAGCCAUGACUGACGCUGAGGCACGAAAGCGUGGGGAUCAAACAGGAUUAGAUACCCUUGUAGUC